This 291-nucleotide ribosomal RNA is filed under the name uncultured bacterium. RNAcentral's name for it is "partial 16S ribosomal RNA". It matches the Rfam family "Bacterial small subunit ribosomal RNA", at positions 29 to 297 of the family's 1533-position model. The record is from RNAcentral.
AGCGAACGCUGGCGGCGUGCUUAACACAUGCAAGUCGAGCGAAGGUGUUUCAAGGGUAACCUUGAGAUACACUUAGCGGCGGACGGGUGAGUAAUACGUGGAUAACUUACCUCUAGGCCUGGGAUAACCCCGGGAACGUGGGCGUAAUACCUGAUAAGACCACAUUGCCUACGGACAAAGGGGUAAAAGGUGGCUGUGCAAACAGCUAUCGCCAAAAGAUAGGUUCACGUCCCAUCAGGCAGUUGGUGAGGUAAUGGCUCACCAAACCAAAGACGGGUAGCCGGCCUUGGC